GUUCCCACCAACCUAAAAUUUUUGGGUAUCUUUUGCUAAGACUAGUCGCAAAUAGGGAUGUUGUGGAAGGUUCAAAACCCUAACCAAGUUUCUCUACUUAGUACUUAACAGGAUUGAGCGGAUUCCCUGCCCGUAAGAGCAAAUGAUGACUCUAGAAAUUGAAGCUCCAGAUGUGAUCAAGAUCGUGUUCCAGUUCUGCAAAGAGAACUCGUUGUACCAAACGUUUCAGACAUUGUAGAACGAGUGCCAGGUCUCGCUCAAUACAGUGGAUGGUAUCGAGACGUUUGUUGCUGAUAUCAAUUGUGGAAGGGGAUGCUACAUUGCCUCAACUGGCUCAGCUCAAGCUCCCCAGGAAUAAAUUGGACUUGUAUGAGCAGGUUUGUAGAUUUGAUAUGUUACUUUUUGGUUAUUACCUAGUUGUAGUAUUGCCGUCUGAAUUGCUGGGUCUUUGGAGAAAGAUCUUGCGAACAGUCUUUACACUUCAGUGUUUGUUGCUCAUAUCUAUAGGGGUUUUCUUUCAAAGUCUGAAACUUGAACCUGCACCACAUUGGUGAUAAGCUAAAGCUUGUUUCUGGUUUGUGUUUCUGUCUAUAGAAGGUUUCUUGUCAUGCCAUAUUUUGUGUUUCCGCUUUCUAUAAGAGUUGUUCAACGACAUAAUUCUCCAAAAGUUAAUCUAAUUUAACAAAAACUUGCUUGUGUUUAAAUUUGAACAACUUUGUUAUUCUUGGCACAAGUUUGCUACGUCUUUUAAUUAAAAGAUGGAGAAGUGAAAAGAUGUUUUUUAAUCGAUGUUCUUGUUAUGCCUCCAUAGUUUCCAAUUGUCUUUGAGCCUUCUUCAAUCUUCAGUGAGGUGCAUCGUGCAUGUCAUAAUUCUGGCUGCAGUUGCUUUUGCCCCAUCCUCCAAUGGGCUCACUAUGAGCAUGAGCCCUAGCUAUCUGUAGCAAGACUCCAAAUCAUUUAAUUCUGAAGCACUUUGUUGCCUUGGAGAUUCUUUUGAUUGCUUUCUUUCUUCAAUGUUGCGAAUUGUAUUAGAAAUGAUAGAACUUCGAGAAUUAGAUACUGCACGUGCCAUUUUAAUGCAAACUCAGGCAAUGGGUGUCAUGAAGCAGGAGCAACCUGAGAGAUACUUGAGAUUACCAAUGGUUGCCACUUAUAGGCAUUUUCACUGUAAAAAUAAAGUGGAAUAUGAAAUUUUGAAGCUAUAAGGGCUAACAAUGCUCUAGAAAAAGAACAGGCUGAAUUGUUAGAUUCACAUUGAAUUGCAGGAUUCAAUCAUGACAUAGGUGCAUUUAGGAAUUCCAUACAUUCGAAGUAUGUAGGAGAGACAAUCAAAUCAAAUCAUAUGAAUUGAAUCAAGAAGCAUAAGAUUCCAAGAACAGUGGUUUGCAGGAAUUUCCUGUCUAUAUUACUUGCCGACCUGCUUUAGUUUCAUGCUCCGUGUAUGAUUUUUUCUGCUGCAGUUUGGAACAAAAAGUCAUGCAGAAUGUGCUCAGUUUUCACCAGAUGGGCAGUUCCUUGUCUUAUGCCUAUUGAUGGAUUCGUUGAGGAAACUUCUAUGAUGCAUGAUGAACCUGUCCUAUGUGUUGAUUUCAGCAGAUUCUGAGAUGAUCCCAUCAGGUUCCCAUGAAGUGAAGUCCAAAUAAGUUUAAUUGUGUGCUAGCGUUAUGUUUUUGAAAUUUUUUUCUUUAUAAUUCAACCCAAAUAGCACCUGCUGUUUUUAAAACAUAGAUCUUCUCGGAAUUGUUAAAAGCAUCCAUGGGGCUUGCUUACAAGCUGAUGGAUGUAUAAUCUUGUAAAACUCUUGUUUGAAUUGUGAAUUGUUUGAUCAACCGGGCUUGUACAUAAUAAUAAAAAUAUGAAUUUUCGUGAAUAAUUGGGGAAGAGCUAAAAAAUUGAUGUGUGCCUAAUGUUUGGAAAUGUUUUGAUUAUGGUUAGUUAGUGUGUGAUAGGUACAUGUUGAGAAAAAAGGCAAAAGAUUAAAUGUCUUAAUUCUGAAAGUUGCAAGGCAGCUUAUUUAUAUAAUAAUUCUAAAGUAGGAAUAUCUGAAGCUAGGAUAUUAGAAUAUACAAAAAUGUCAAUGCCUAUUUUACAACGUUAAUUAGGAAUCCUGAUUAUAGCCCUAAUUAGGAUAUAUAUAUACACAUAUAUAUAUAAUAAAGGGGAAAAAAAUCCUAAAUAGAAAAAUAUUUUCAAUUAGAUAUUUUUGUGCAGAUUGUGUGGAUCAAGAUGUUCGUAUUUUGGUAUGAAUUGUGCCAGUGAGAGAAAAAUUGACUGGAGCAAGUUGGAUUUGUACAUCAUGUUUUUCCAGGUGUGGUCCAAUUUGCAUCCUUGGGUGAGAUGUUUUGGAUAUGGUGGGUAGUGUGCAGUUCUUAAAUUUUUUGGCAAGGUUGUGAGGACUAGGAAGGCGGCUUAUCAAUCAAGGAAAAACAUUUUGGCAUCAACAUAGAACUACCACAAUAAUCUGGACUUCUCAUUUUGUGUUUUUCCAAUUAAGAUUUGCAUGAUAAGAAGUAAAAUCUGACAAAAACACAACACAUGAAAUUUUGAUAGUUAAAUGUGGAUAAACUUUUCUUGGUACCUAAUUUGUUGUUAGGUCUGGCAGAUAAGGACUAGUCAAUGCUGGUGUCAUCUCGAACGUGAGCAUUCUCAAGGAGUUACUAGUGUUGCCUUCUCUUGUGAUGGAAGCCAGCAAGUACAUCACAGUACGGCCAGUUUUGUAACCAUGUCUCAUGUUUGAUGUGGAAUACAUGGCCUAACGUCUGGGUGUGGGAAGUUGUUGAAGGAAUUCUGUGGCCACUCAUCCUAUGUGAAUGAUGCCAUUUUUACAAGUGAUGGAACUCAUGUUAUUACUGCAUCCAGUGAUUGCCAGUGAAGGUUUGGGAUGUGAAGAGUACAGAGUGUGUACAUACAUUUAGGCCGCCACCUCCAUCUUGUUUUACUUCCUGCCUGAUUGUCUCUCUCUAUGAACUGUUAGGGAGGUUGUGAAGAGUUUCUCAUCUGGUAAAAGAGAAGGUGGAGAAUUUGUUGCAGCAUGCUUGUCACCAAAAGAAGAAUGGAUCUAUUGUGUUGGUGAAGACAGGAAUAUGUACUGCUUCAGCCACCAAUCCGGUAAACUAGAGCAUUUUAUGAAGGGUCAUUGAGCGUAGUUGUCAAAACUCCAUAUCCAGAGUCUGUAUUGGUGUGGGCACAUGGAGUAAGCAUUCGGUCGGAUCGGAAUCAAACCGAAUAAAUUGAAAAUCAAAAUUUCAGUAUUUAUAAAAAUCGAACCGAAUCGAUGUUGGUCAAAAACCGAAUCGAACUGAACCGAUUUGAUUCGGUUCGGUUUGAUCAGUUUUGAUUUUUAAUAAAUUUUUUAUUUUUUACAUUUUAUUUUUAGUACUUUAAAAUUUAAUUAAAAUAUUUUAAUCUUAAUAUGAUUUAAUUUCUCUAUAUUAUUUAAAAAAACAUAUUAUUAUCACUAAUUGGUUCGGUUUGAUUUUUUUGAUUUUUUCUGAUCAAAAUCGAACCGAACCGAAAUAACUGAAAUUUCUGAAAUUAAAAAUCGAAUCGAAUUGAAUAAAAAAUCGAACUAAAUUUUCAAAUUAAUUCGGUUCGGUCGGUUUUUUCUGUUUGAACCAAAUACUGCUCGACCCAUAUAGGCUAAAAAUACUGAUAUUAGCCUUAGAUUUUUCUAUAUAGGUGAGUAUACAUCUUGUUUGAUGUGGCUUGGAGAAAUUUUCAAACCAACUCAAAUUAUUUAAUGAAGAAAUGAACUAGUACCUAGCUGAAAUUUAACCAUUUGCGUAGAAAAUUUAAAAUAAUAAUAAUUUAAUUAGGUAAAAGAAUUGCAUUUAUUUCAAACGCUUAAAAUAAUUAAACUUAUAUUUAGAUGGUGACUGCAAAGUAAAAAGAGGCUAAACUAAAUAAAUCUAUGCAACAUAUAUUUUAGUAGAAUUGUAUAAAGUAAAGUAGUUUAAUAAAUUGAUAAAUAGAAUAUCAUAAAUUUAAAAUUGAUAAUCAGCAUAAAUAAAAUUAAACAUUUAAAGCGUAUAUUAUGGAUUUAAUUAUAUUUAAUUAUAUGUAAAAAUGGUCUAUAACAAUUUGUGGUUUUUAAGGGUGUUUUUUAAUAUAACUUAACUGUUUUGAAAAGGUCAGAAAUUUGCAAAGCUUUCAAUUAGUUUAACAAUUUGAAUCGAUGGUAAAGGCGCUUGAGAAACUGUUUGGCAUUGACGUUGGAGGUGCUAUCAAGAAAAAUGCUUCCAUUGAAAAUGAUAAUGUACUUGCUUGUAUCAUUUAACUACAUUAGAAAUGUCAAAUUCAUUUUCUUGCAGGUAACCAAUGAAGGUCAUUUCUCCUGCAUCUCUCUUUCGCCCUCUCUCUAUGCAGCUUGAGUUGUGUUAUUUCUUUCAAUCAACCUACCCUUUUACUUUUUUGAGCAGUCCUUUCUUCUGGGAUUUAUAGACAAAGGUUAAUUAUUUGCUGAGAGUUGAUUGGGUCAUUUGGUUAAUUAUUUUGAGAUGCCGUUUAGUCCUAAGACUGAAAUGCUGCAGUUGGUGAACAACUGGCCUCUUCUGCUUUCAAGCAAUGGCUGUGGCUGCCUUCCCUGCGUGGGAGAGUUGAACAGACUAUAACAUUCACUAACCAUUACCCACCAAAGUUUUCAAUAGCAGUUGCCUCUUAACUCUCUUUCAUCCUUGUGCUUUCCCAUUAAGCAAUAGCUUGUGCUAAUUCAGUUCUUAUUCUGCCACAAGCUCUUUUUUUUUUUUUUUUUUUAAAUUAAAUAUUUGUUCAAUUAAUUGGUCGUUGAUUAAAUGAUUGUGCUCCUUUUUGAGGAAGAAAUUAUCAGCACUCAGCCUUCAGUAGUGGUUUGGGUUAUACAUUUGAUGUGGAGCUAUUGAGGGAUCAGGCAUGUGAAGGUGCUCCAUUAAGCAUGGCAGGCUUUCACACAUAUUUAAUCAAUUAUUGAAAAGUAAAAGCUCAAUGAGCACUUGCUUUUUUUAACU
RNA transcript from Manihot esculenta (cassava), 4982 nucleotides. RefSeq lists it as uncharacterized. The transcript has 8 exons. Lineage: Eukaryota; Viridiplantae; Streptophyta; Magnoliopsida; Malpighiales; Euphorbiaceae. The record is from RefSeq and is a predicted model, not a curated record.